Mauremys mutica (yellowpond turtle) is the source of this 319-nucleotide long non-coding RNA. RefSeq lists it as uncharacterized. The transcript has 3 exons. The record is from RefSeq and is a predicted model, not a curated record. Lineage: Eukaryota; Metazoa; Chordata; Testudines; Geoemydidae.
GGAGUUUUUAACUGGUUUCUGUUUGUAGCAGCCUGCUCCAUGCCAGCUGAUUGAGAGCUUCUUGUGCCACUUCUUGAAAUGUCAGAUCACCGUUUUCUCUUCCUUGCCAGGUUUUGAUGUGGCAGGAAAGGAGGGAGGUGAGGGUUUUGUACCUGAGAAGCAUAGUCUAAUAGAUGGAAAUGUUAAUGAGCCAGCAUUCCAGGAUGAGGAGCCUUAGUACAGGUGUCCUUGUAAGAGAUGUUUCUGCUCUGUGAAUCGCCACAAAGCAGAGUCCAGGAUUUGGAAAGUCUUCAAAGGACCUGCCUGAAAUCUCAUUAUA